RNAcentral lists this ribosomal RNA (483 nucleotides) under uncultured bacterium. RNAcentral's name for it is "partial 16S ribosomal RNA". It matches the Rfam family "Bacterial small subunit ribosomal RNA", at positions 28 to 507 of the family's 1533-position model. The record is from RNAcentral.
GACGAACGCUGGCGGCGUGCUUAACACAUGCGAGUCGAACGCUGAAGCUCAGCUUUUGUUGGGUGGAUGAGUGGCGAACGGGUGAGUAACACAUGAGUAACCUGCCUCCUUCUUUGGGAUAACGCCCGGAAACGGGUGCUAAUACUGGAUAUUCACUGGUCUUCGCAUGGGGGUUGGUGGAAAGGGUUUUUCUGGUGGGGGAUGGGCUCGCGGCCUAUCAGCUUGUUGGUGGGGUGAUGGCCUACCAAGGCUUUGACGGGUAGCCGGCCUGAGAGGGUGACCGGUCACAUUGGGACUGAGAUACGGCCCAGACUCCUACGGGAGGCAGCAGUGGGGAAUAUUGCACAAUGGGCGCAAGCCUGAUGCAGCGACGCCGCGUGAGGGAUGGAGGCCUUCGGGUUGUGAACCUCUUUCGCUCAUGGUCAAGCCGCAACAAUGGUUGUGGUGAGGGUAGUGGGUAAAGAAGCGCCGGCUAACUACGUG